GAUGAACGCUAGCGGGAGGCCUAACACAUGCAAGCCGAGCGGUAUUGUUUCUUCGGAAAUGAGAGAGCGGCGUACGGGUGCGGAACACGUGUGCAACCUGCCUUUAUCUGGGGGAUAGCCUUUCGAAAGGAAGAUUAAUACUCCAUAAUAUAUUGAACGGCAUCGUUUAAUAUUGAAAUCUUCGGCGGAUAGAGAUGGGCACGCGGAAGAUUAGCUAGUUGGUGAGGUAACGGCUCACCAAGGCGAUGAUCUUUAGGGGGCCUGAGAGGGUGAUCCCCCACACUGGUACUGAGACACGGACCAGACUCCUACGGGAGGCAGCAGUGAGGAAUAUUGGUCAAUGGGUGCAAGCCUGAGCCAGCCAUCCCGCGUGAAGGACGACUGCCCUAUGGGUUGUAAACUUCUUUUGUAUAGGGAUAAACCUACCCUCGUGAGGGUAGCUGAAGGUACUAUACGAAUAAGCACCGGCUAACUCCGUGCCAGCAGCCGCCGUAA
RNAcentral lists this ribosomal RNA (495 nucleotides) under uncultured bacterium. RNAcentral describes it as "partial 16S ribosomal RNA". It matches the Rfam family "Bacterial small subunit ribosomal RNA", at positions 28 to 523 of the family's 1533-position model. The record is from RNAcentral.